GUGUCAGCAGCCGCGGUAAUACAGAGGGUGCAAACGUUGUUCGGAAUUACUGGGCAUAAAGCGCACGUAGGCGGCCUGAGAAGUGCGGGGUGAAAUCCCACGGCUUACCCGUGGAACUGCUUUGCAUACUGCCAGGCUGGAGGACGGUAGAGGAGAGCGGAACUCUUGGUGGAGCGGUGAAAUGCGUAGAUAUCAAGAGGAACACCGAAGGCGAAGGCAGCUCUCUGGUCCGUUUCUGACGCUGAGGUGCGAAAGCCAGGGUAGCGAACGGGAUUAGAUACCCUGGUAGUCC
This 292-nucleotide ribosomal RNA is filed under the name uncultured bacterium. Its description in RNAcentral is "partial 16S ribosomal RNA". It matches the Rfam family "Bacterial small subunit ribosomal RNA", at positions 505 to 796 of the family's 1533-position model. The record is from RNAcentral.